AUUGAACGCUGGCGGCAGGCCUAACACAUGCAAGUCGAGCGGAUGAAGGGAGCUUGCUCCUGGAUUCAGCGGCGGACGGGUGAGUAAUGCCUAGGAAUCUGCCUGGUAGUGGGGGAUAACGUCCGGAAACGGGCGCUAAUACCGCAUACGUCCUGAGGGAGAAAGUGGGGGAUCUUCGGACCUUCCGCUAUCAGAUGAGCCUAGGUCGGAUUAGCUAGUUGGUGGGGUAAAGGCCUACCAAGGCGACGAUCCGUAACUGGUCUGAGAGGAUGAUCAGUCACACUGGAACUGAGACACGGUCCAGACUCCUACGGGAGGCAGCAGUGGGGAAUAUUGGACAAUGGGCGCAAGCCUGAUCCAGCCAUGCCGCGUGUGUGAAGAAGGUCUUCGGGUUGUAAAGCACUUUAGGUUGGGAGGAAGGGCAGUAAGUUAAUACCUUGCUGUUUUGACGUUACCAACAGAAUAAGCACCGGCUAGCUUCGUG
Molecule: ribosomal RNA, 484 nt
Filed under: uncultured bacterium
Lineage: Bacteria
Description: partial 16S ribosomal RNA
Rfam family: Bacterial small subunit ribosomal RNA
Source: RNAcentral